Molecule: ribosomal RNA, 492 nt
Filed under: uncultured bacterium
Lineage: Bacteria
Description: bacterial SSU rRNA
Rfam family: Bacterial small subunit ribosomal RNA
Source: RNAcentral
GAUCAUGGCUACGAGGACGAACGCUGGCGGCGUGCCUAACACAUGCAAGUCGAGCGGGGAUUACCGAAUGAAGUUUCGGAUGGAUUUUGGUAAUUCUAGCGGCGGACGGGUGAGUAACGCGUGAGUAACCUGCCUAUCACUGGGGAAUAACGCACCGAAAGGUGUGCUAAUACCGCAUGAGACCACAGAGGGACAUCCCACAGGGGUCAAAGAUUCAUCGGUGAUAGAUGGGCUCGCGUCUGAUUAGCUGGUUGGUGAGGUAACGGCCCACCAAGGCGACGAUCAGUAGCCGACCUGAGAGGGUGAUCGGCCACAUUGGAACUGAGAAACGGUCCAAACUCCUACGGGAGGCAGCAGUGGGGAAUAUUGGGCAAUGGGCGCAAGCCUGACCCAGCAACGCCGCGUGAAGGAAGAAGGUCUUCGGAUCGUAAACUUCUAUCCUUGGUGAAGAUAAUGACGGUAGCCGAGAAGGAAGCCCCGGCUAACUACGUG